CCUACGGGAGGCAGCAGUGAGGAAUAUUGGUCAAUGGUCGGGAGACUGAACCCGCCAAGCCGCGUGAGGGAUGACGGUACAGAGUAUCGUAAACCUCUUUUGUCAGGGAACAAAGGCGGGGACGUGUCCCCGGAUGAGUGUACCUGAAGAAAAAGCAUCGGCUCACUCCGUGCCAGCAGCCGCGGUAAAACGGAGGAUGCGAGCGUUAACCGAUUUAAUUGGGUUUAAGGGGUGCUCAGCGGAAGAUCAAGUCAGCGGUAAAAAUGGGAGGCGCAACCUCUUCGAGCCGUUGAAACUGGUUUUCUUGAGUGAGUGAGAAGUAUGCGGAAUGCGUGGUGUAGCGGUGAAAUGCAUAGAUAUCACGCAGAACUCCGAUUGCGAAGGCAGCAUACCGGCGCUCAACUGACGCUCAUGCACGAAAGUGUGGGUAUCGAACAGGAUUAGAUACCCGAGUAGUC
RNAcentral lists this ribosomal RNA (458 nucleotides) under uncultured bacterium. Its description in RNAcentral is "partial 16S ribosomal RNA". It matches the Rfam family "Bacterial small subunit ribosomal RNA", at positions 338 to 795 of the family's 1533-position model. The record is from RNAcentral.